Molecule: non-coding RNA, 24 nt
Filed under: Cricetulus griseus (Chinese hamster)
Lineage: Eukaryota; Metazoa; Chordata; Mammalia; Rodentia; Cricetidae
Source: RNAcentral
AAAACCGGCUUCUGGAGAAACUAU